RNAcentral lists this long non-coding RNA (1179 nucleotides) under Canis lupus familiaris (dog). RNAcentral's name for it is "lncRNA (ENSCAFG00000055955.1, ENSCAFG00845002553.1)". The record is from RNAcentral. Lineage: Eukaryota; Metazoa; Chordata; Mammalia; Carnivora; Canidae.
AAAAAAAAAACAGACUUUAUUCUUCAAAUAAAAUGUUAACACAUUUUGACCAAUAGAAUAAAAACCACCAAGAGAUAAAUAAUGCAACAAAUCUUGUAAAAGCAAUUAAGAUUAAAAUGCUCUUGUGCUAAUAGAAAAUUUUCAUUAUGUAAAUUUUUCUCACUUACUUAUGCAAUAUGUAGCUACAAAUUUAAGUUAUUCAUGAAGCAAAGGGGAUGCUUAAAAGGAAUGGUACUCCUUUGGUACAUAUGUAUGUGUAUGUACACUGAACUCUGGUGUUUGGAAAUAAAUACAAAUCAUGUAUAAAAUUAAAAAGUAAUUCCAUUAAUUUUGUUAGACAUAUUAAUCAAACUUAUUCAAAGUAUCUAGUGAAAGAGUAAGUAUAGCUAAAAAUUAAUUGAUCUGGUGUAUAGUAUAAAUUUUAUUUAUUUUUUUGCUAACAUGAAGUAGUGCAUACAAAUAUUUUCAAAGAUGAAGUAAGUUCAAGACUGUAAUUGGAAUAUUUUAUAUGCCUGGAUUAAAAUGUUUUAAAUACCUUUUUGUGUAAUACACACCAAAUCUCAAAGAAGUCAGGUAAAAAAUGACCACAGGUUUUGUCUGGUGAAAUUUGAAAACUGUGGUUGUCUCCAAAAGCACUACAAUAGUGGCCUGCGCUGUUUCAGUUGUUUGGUGGUGCUUUUCUAACCAGCAAACUAAUACUAAGGAUUAUUCUUGAGAGUAGCUGAAAACAAUUGCUUUUGCUUAAAUACUCGAUCAAAAAAAGCACCAUUUAGAUGGUUAAUCUCUCUUACUGAUGCUCUGAUUUUCCUUUUUUCCCAUGAAAAUAUCUUUCCAUUUAUUUCUUUUUAAUUUUUCCCUAUGUAACUAACUGUAGUACAAAAUUAAUUCAAAAUGAAUCAUACACCUGAACAUAAUGGUUAAAAUUACAAAAAGUCUAGGGAUGCCCAGGUGGCUCAGUCAGUUAAGCAUCUGCCUUUGGCUCAGGUCUUGAUCUCAGGGUCCUGGGAUUGAGCCCUGCCUCGGGCUCCCUGCUCAGUGGGCAAGUCUGCUUCUACCUCUGCCCCUCUCUCCCCUCACUUGUGCUCUCUCUCUCUCAGAUAAAUAAAAUCUUCAAAAAUUAUGAAAAUUCUAGGAGAAAACAGAAAAAUUCUUAAAGACCCUAUAUUUAGCAAAGAUUUC